Molecule: unclassified non-coding RNA, 358 nt
Filed under: uncultured fungus
Lineage: Eukaryota; Fungi
Description: sequence contains ITS1
Rfam family: 5.8S ribosomal RNA (bases 1-105)
Source: RNAcentral
GAAAUGCGAUAAGUAAUGUGAAUUGCAGAAUUCCGUGAAUCAUUAAAUCUUUGAACGCACAUUGCGCCCUCUGGUAUUCCUAAGGGCAUGCCUGUUCGAGAAUCAGUUAAACCAUCAAACCUAUUUGGGCGACCAAGCAGUUUUGGAUUUGGGACUUCUCGCUAGAGAGACCUUAAUAACAUUUGUUGCCUAUCUUUAUUGAUCCUAUGCGAAUGGCAUGACCAUUGAACGAAAGUUCUUAAUGAUUGCAGCUAGUAUAGAGGAUUAAAGCUUAGUGUACAAAAUUUUAACACGAAGAGAAUUAAAACACUCUUUAAGACUUGAUCUCGAAUCAGACAAGACUACCCGCUGAACUUAA